AGAAAACUCUGACGUAUUCACAUCUCCGAAGCCCAAUUUGAUCAAGUACAGAUUGUGGCGACAUUUUGUUACUGGUACAUGAACCGGUGGCAUACACAUUUAUAUUUCAGCAUACGAUUGUCAUAUUGACAAUCACCAGAACCAAGUUGUGAGGGAACGUGUCCCUCACAGGCUGUAGAGGGUUAAAGCCAGGGGCUCGGAUAUCCGAACACGGCGAAUUUGGAAGAGGCGCUCAGAGAGCGGGGAGCCCAAGAUGGCGGAGCAGAAGAGAGUGGUAGGAUGGGAUCGGGCCGGCAGCGGACAAACGCAUGACCAAAUAUGGCCAUUUGGGAAGAGACGCCCAGAAAGCGGGGAGCCCGAGAUGGUGGCGCAGAAGACAGUGGAAGGAUGGGAUCGGCAGCGGACCAACGCAUGCCCAAAUAUGGCCAUGGGAUCGGGGUCCAGUUACGAAAAAGGGAGAAAGCAUCAGAAUCGCCGAUGGAAAAACACUGACCGCGUGGGAGAACCGUUAUCCGGCGCCUAUAUAAGGAGGGUGGCCGCCAAGGCAGGGGAGCUUCACGCGUGAGCAGCCCAAGAGCUAGGUCGAGUGUUCGGGUGAAUAAGUGAAUCGAAGUGCAUAAUAGUGGAAAUCGUAACGGGACCCGCGACAUCGAAUGCCCAGAGUGAGUCUUGCAUAAUCAGAGUGAACAACAGAUUUUCGGACGAGGUUAAGGUAGAGAAAGGCGAACCGUUGGAGUGUGGAAUUGGUGUGGCGGAUUAAGAUCAAUUGCCCAAGUUCAGCGGCACCAACGUGCAACGCCCGGAGCCAACCGUCCGAAAUCGACAGGUCACAAGAUAGCGAUAACAUAGCCAUAAGCUAGGCUAAGCUAUAGAGAUUAAUAUUGAAUAAAACCCCAAUUGUCAGAAAUAAACCAAUCCUGUGUUUUUACUUGGUCGUCGAGGCAACAAUAUAAAUUCGUUGCAACCACCCAAUUUCCCGCUGAGUCAGCCCAGCACAGGUCACGAGACCCGGAAAAAGGGUACGUUACAACUGGCGCCCAACGUGGGCCACGGAAGCGGCGCAGGGGGUGCCGACAGCACCGGAGGAGCAGCAUCAGCAGCAGCAUCAGCAGCAUCAGCAGCAGCAGCAUCAGCAGCAGCA
Molecule: long non-coding RNA, 1141 nt
Filed under: Drosophila guanche
Lineage: Eukaryota; Metazoa; Arthropoda; Insecta; Diptera; Drosophilidae
Source: RNAcentral